Molecule: ribosomal RNA, 355 nt
Filed under: uncultured bacterium
Lineage: Bacteria
Description: bacterial SSU rRNA
Rfam family: Bacterial small subunit ribosomal RNA
Source: RNAcentral
AACGAACGCUGGCGGCAUGCUUAACACAUGCAAGUUGAACGCAGAAUAGAGCUUCGGCUCUAUUGCUGAGUAGCAAACGGGUGAGUAACGCGUGGGAAUCUGCCUUCUUGUGGGGGAUGACUAAGGGAAACUUUAGCUAAUACCGCAUACGCUCUACGGAGGAAAGGCUUCGGCCGCAAAGAAGAGGAGCCCGCGUCAGAUUAGGUAGUGGUGGGGUAAAGCCUACCAAGCCGAUGAUCUGUAGCUGGUCUGAGAGGAUGAUCAGCCACACUGGGACUGAGGCACGGCCCAGACUCCUACGGGAGGCAGCAGUGGGGAAUAUUGGACAAUGGCGGCAAGACCUGAUCCAGCGAUG